This 190-nucleotide ribosomal RNA is filed under the name Phycisphaerae bacterium. RNAcentral's name for it is "partial 23S ribosomal RNA". It matches the Rfam family "Bacterial large subunit ribosomal RNA", at positions 1 to 197 of the family's 2925-position model. Lineage: Bacteria; Pseudomonadati; Planctomycetota; Phycisphaerae. The record is from RNAcentral.
GAUCAAGCUACUAAGGGCACGAGGUGAAUGCCUUGGCUCCAGAAGUCGAUGAAGGACGUAGUAAGUUGCGAUAAGCCGCGCCUAGCGACAAACACGCUUAAGCGCGGAUUUCCGAAUGGGGAAACCCGGCCAAUCAUGGUCGAUGUCAUGUGAAUGCAUAGCAUGGCAUCGGGACACCCGCUGAAGUGAA